RNAcentral lists this ribosomal RNA (52 nucleotides) under Flavobacteriales bacterium. Its description in RNAcentral is "partial 23S ribosomal RNA". The record is from RNAcentral. Lineage: Bacteria; Pseudomonadati; Bacteroidota; Flavobacteriia; Flavobacteriales.
UAAAGGCAGAGAUGUCAUAGGCGAGGGAUACUAAUUACCCUUUAGCUUUUUG